CUCCAUUGCAGAAAAAUAAUUGAGGAGGUUGGUCCAUGGCCACUCUCUGUUUCAUUUCCCCCAUCUCACUUAGGCUCAGGUUUUUCCUUUGUGCCUACUUUCUUUCUUUAUGCCUUUUCUUUUCAUUCAACAGAGGCUAUGCCUCAUUCGAAGGAAGGAAACUUGCAGAGAGCCAGCUUCCUCACCAUAGCCAUACAAUUCAAGUCAGCUCUCUACUCCCAUCUGAUUCUUGCAAACCUUCCACUACAAAAGUGGUGGAGAAGAAGGCAUUAUUGGAAGUAGUCCACAGGCAUGGUCCAUGCUCGCAACUAAAAGCUGGAAAAGCUCCAAGUCACACGGAGAUCCUCCUCCAAGAUGAAUCCAGA
Molecule: unclassified non-coding RNA, 365 nt
Filed under: Hevea brasiliensis (rubber tree)
Lineage: Eukaryota; Viridiplantae; Streptophyta; Magnoliopsida; Malpighiales; Euphorbiaceae
Source: RNAcentral